Non-coding RNA from Paramuricea clavata, 630 nucleotides. The record is from the annotation of a GenBank genome assembly. NCBI's taxonomy places the organism in Eukaryota, Metazoa, Cnidaria, Anthozoa, Malacalcyonacea, Plexauridae.
UACAAAAUGGCGGGCAUUUUUUACUAAAAAGAUCGCAAAAAAAAUUGUUUCGAAAUCAAGGAUAUUGUUUGAAAUCUCGCUGAUUUUUGUUGAAUUAUUUUUGUUUUCAGGUUUGCCUAUGGGAAGAGGUAAAUCUGGGAGAGAUUUGCAGUUUCUUUUUCUUUUUUUUCAACAAAAUUGUUUUGAUAUGAGCGGGAAUUGUAAAUAUUUUGCCAUAUUUUGGUUUAUGGGCUUAGCCUGCUUGACUAGUUUAGCUUUAAUAUACCUGUAAGUUUGUGUAAAAUAUCGUGGAUCUUUUGUGGAAAGGAAGAAACUUUGCUUGACAAAGAAUUUGGUUGACAAACGGCAAAAGUUUUCUAUCUUAAGGUACGGUGUGAAUCUUUUGACUAUUAAAAACUUAACAAUAUAAACACAUUCAUGCUAUUUUUUGCUAUUUGUCUGAUAGUCAGGAAUUAAGAGUGCAGGGGGUUACAUUAGCAAUUGUCAUGUGAAUUCAGAAUAUAGUUAAUGACUUAAUCUGUUUUUACAACUUUUUACUGAUAUUUUGCAGUUGUAUACUUGUAUGUACUGUAGUUCACUAAGUUCAGUAGUUCCAUUUAUAAGCAUUCAGCUCAAUCAGCUGUGUCUGUG